AAAUGUAGGAUAGGUCGGAGAUCAGAUAGCAUGGAAUCAUCUAUCCUCGAACAUGUGACCUCUGCGAAGAUCCAUAAAGAUCCUCCGAAACGGAAUAUGCCCCAGUAUGGCAUCUGACGUGCGACAAAUCAGGAAAUAUAGGUGACAUCAAAUCAUCUCUCAUCAAACAUGUGGUCCUGGUAAUCCAAACACGGUUGAAACGAAUCUAAACAUCUGAGAAGUGUCUCCCAGAAGAAGAUGCAUGGCAAAUAUCUGGAUGUCAACCGAAUCUCAAACACCUGUCCACAUAGAAGCCGUAGAAGACGAUAUCUGAUCCCAUGGCCUCAGGGUGGUCUUAAGACACGGGACGUAAUGUAGGCUAGGGUGAUAGGGUGAUAGAAACGAAGGGAAACUAAGCUCAAAUACCCGAUGAUCAAAACCCAUGCCCUCAUGUAUGAAAUGCA
RNAcentral lists this long non-coding RNA (443 nucleotides) under Vitis vinifera (wine grape). RNAcentral's name for it is "long non-coding RNA (VVIN_LNC003798)". The record is from RNAcentral. Lineage: Eukaryota; Viridiplantae; Streptophyta; Magnoliopsida; Vitales; Vitaceae.